RNAcentral lists this ribosomal RNA (492 nucleotides) under uncultured bacterium. Its description in RNAcentral is "partial 16S ribosomal RNA". It matches the Rfam family "Bacterial small subunit ribosomal RNA", at positions 29 to 507 of the family's 1533-position model. The record is from RNAcentral.
AGUGAACGCUGGCGGUAGGCCUAACACAUGCAAGUCGAACGGCAGCACCGUAAGAGCUUGCUCUUACGGGUGGCGAGUGGCGGACGGGUGAGGAAUACAUCGGAAUCUACUUUUUCGUGGGGGAUAACGUAGGGAAACUUACGCUAAUACCGCAUACGACCUACGGGUGAAAGCAUGGGAUCUUCGGACCUUGCGCGAUUGAAUGAGCCGAUGUCGGAUUAGCUAGUUGGCGGGGUAAAGGCCCACCAAGGCGACGAUCCGUAGCUGGUCUGAGAGGAUGAUCAGCCACACUGGAACUGAGACACGGUCCAGACUCCUACGGGAGGCAGCAGUGGGGAAUAUUGGACAAUGGGCGCAAGCCUGAUCCAGCCAUACCGCGUGGGUGAAGAAGGCCUUCGGGUUGUAAAGCCCUUUUGUUGGGAAAGAAAAGCAGCAGGUUAAUACCCCGCUGUUCUGACGGUACCCAAAGAAUAAGCACCGGCUAACUUCGUG